GGUGCAUUAGCUAGUUGGUAAGGUAACGGCUUACCAAGGCGAUGAUGCAUAGCCGAGUUGAGAGACUGAUCGGCCACAAUGGAACUGAGACACGGUCCAUACUCCUACGGGAGGCAGCAGUAGGGAAUCUUCCACAAUGGGCGCAAGCCUGAUGGAGCAACACCGCGUGAGUGAAGAAGGGUUUCGGCUCGUAAAGCUCUGUUGUUGGAGAAGAACGUGCGUGAGAGUAACUGUUCACGCAGUGACGGUAUCCAACCAGAAAGUCACGGCUAACUACGUGCCAGCAGCCGCGGUAAUACGUAGGUGGCAAGCGUUAUCCGGAUUUAUUGGGCGUAAAGCGAGCGCAGGCGGUUGCUUAGGUCUGAUGUGAAAGCCUUCGGCUUAACCGAAGAAGUGCAUCGGAAACCGGGCAACUUGAGUGCAGAAGAGGACAGUGGAACUCCAUGUGUAGCGGUGGAAUGCGUAGAUAUAUGGAAGAACACCAGUGGCGAAGGCGGCUGUCUGGUCUGCAACUGACGCUGAGGCUCGAAAGCAUGGGUAGCGAACAGGAUUAGAUACCCUGGUAGUCCAUGCCGUAAACGAUGAGUGCUAGGUGUUGGAGGGUUUCCGCCCUUCAGUGCCGG
This 623-nucleotide ribosomal RNA is filed under the name uncultured bacterium. Its description in RNAcentral is "bacterial SSU rRNA". It matches the Rfam family "Bacterial small subunit ribosomal RNA", at positions 235 to 849 of the family's 1533-position model. The record is from RNAcentral.